GGUGAGUAACGCGUAUGCAACUUACCUAUCAGAGGGGGAUAGCCCGGCGAAAGUCGGAUUAAUACCCCAUAAAACAGGGGUCCCGCAUGGGAAUAUUUGUUAAAGAUUCAUCGCUGAUAGAUAGGCAUGCGUUCCAUUAGGCAGUUGGCGGGGUAACGGCCCACCAAACCGACGAUGGAUAGGGGUUCUGAGAGGAAGGUCCCCCACAUUGGUACUGAGACACGGACCAAACUCCUACGGGAGGCAGCAGUGAGGAAUAUUGGUCAAUGGCCGAGAGGCUGAACCAGCCAAGUCGCGUGAAGGAAGAAGGAUCUAUGGUUUGUAAACUUCUUUUAUAGGGGAAUAAAGUGGAGGACGUGUCCUUUUUUUGUAUGUACCCUAUGAAUAAGCAUCGGCUAACUCCGUGCCAGCAGCCGCGGUAAUACGGAGGAUGCGAGCGUUAUCCGGAUUUAUUGGGUUUAAAGGGUGCGUAGGUGGUGAUUUAAGUCAGCGGUGAAAGUUUGUGGCUCAACCAUAAAAUUGCCGUUGAAACUGGGUUAC
Molecule: ribosomal RNA, 540 nt
Filed under: uncultured bacterium
Lineage: Bacteria
Description: bacterial SSU rRNA
Rfam family: Bacterial small subunit ribosomal RNA
Source: RNAcentral